GGGCGGUUAGCUCAGCUGGUCAGAGCGCCUCGCUUACAACGAGGAAGUCGGGGGUUCGAGCCCCUCACCGCCCA
RNAcentral lists this transfer RNA (74 nucleotides) under uncultured Solirubrobacteraceae bacterium. RNAcentral describes it as "tRNA-Val-TAC". It matches the Rfam family "tRNA". From Rfam's summary of the family: Transfer RNA (tRNA) molecules are approximately 80 nucleotides in length. Their secondary structure includes four short double-helical elements and three loops (D, anti-codon, and T loops). Further hydrogen bonds mediate the characteristic L-shaped molecular structure. tRNAs have two regions of fundamental functional importance: the anti-codon, which is responsible for specific mRNA codon recognition, and the 3' end, to which the tRNAs corresponding amino acid is attached (by aminoacyl-tRNA synthetases). tRNAs cope with the degeneracy of the genetic code in two manners: having more than one tRNA (with a specific anti-codon) for a particular amino acid; and 'wobble' base-pairing, i.e. permitting non-standard base-pairing at the 3rd anti-codon position. Lineage: Bacteria; Bacillati; Actinomycetota; Thermoleophilia; Solirubrobacterales; Solirubrobacteraceae. RNAcentral also lists the same sequence under 1 other name. The record is from RNAcentral.